This 429-nucleotide ribosomal RNA is filed under the name uncultured bacterium. Its description in RNAcentral is "bacterial SSU rRNA". It matches the Rfam family "Bacterial small subunit ribosomal RNA", at positions 355 to 776 of the family's 1533-position model. The record is from RNAcentral.
UGGGGAAUAUUGCACAAUGGGCGCAAGCCUGAUGCAGCCAUGCCGCGUGUAUGAAGAAGGCCUUCGGGUUGUAAAGUACUUUCAGCGGGGAGGAAGGGAGUAAAGUUAAUACCUUUACUCAUUGACGUUACCCGCAGAAGAAGCACCGGCUAACUCCGUGCCAGCAGCCGCGGUAAUACGGAGGGUGCAAGCGUUAAUCGGAAUUACUGGGCGUAAAGCGCACGCAGGCGGUUUGUUAAGUCAGAUGUGAAAUCCCCGGGCUCAACCUGGGAACUGCAUCUGAUACUGGCAGGCUUGAGUCUCGUAGAGGGGGGUAGAAUUCCAGGUGUAGCGGUGAAAUGCGUAGAGAUCUGGAGGAAUACCGGUGGCGAAGGCGGCCCCCUGGACGAAGACUGACGCUCAGGCGCGAAAGCGUGGGGAGCAAACAGG